GGACAGUCAUCGCCGAGUCCCCGUACGGCGCGAGCCAGGGGAGCCGGGGACCCACGCAGUCCCUGGGGUGAAUCGGACGCCCGCGCGUCAGCGAGGGGGUCGUAGGAGACCUUCCUGCUCCGAACCCGUCAGCUAACCCGGUAGGCGAGAGGGAAGGAAAGG
This 162-nucleotide small RNA is filed under the name Streptomyces sp. Its description in RNAcentral is "c-di-AMP sequence". It matches the Rfam family "c-di-AMP riboswitch aptamer (ydaO/yuaA leader)". Rfam says of the family: This family represents a conserved RNA structure found upstream of the ydaO and yuaA genes in Bacillus subtilis and related genes in other bacteria. The ydaO/yuaA element is thought to act as a genetic "off" switch for the ydaO and yuaA genes in its native state. Lineage: Bacteria; Bacillati; Actinomycetota; Actinomycetes; Kitasatosporales; Streptomycetaceae. The record is from RNAcentral.